Molecule: ribosomal RNA, 499 nt
Filed under: uncultured archaeon
Lineage: Archaea
Description: bacterial SSU rRNA
Rfam family: Archaeal small subunit ribosomal RNA
Source: RNAcentral
GAGCUUCGGUUUAAUUGGAUUCAACACCGGAAAUCUUACCGGGACCGACAGCAAUAUGAAGGCCAGGCUGAAGACUUUGCCGGAUUAGCUGAGAGGUGGUGCAUGGCCGUCGUCAGUUCGUACUGUGAAGCAUCCUGUUAAGUCAGGCAACGAGCGAGACCCACGCCCACAGUUGCCAGCGUACUCUCUGGAGUGACGGGUACACUGUGGGGACCGCCGCUGCUAAAGCGGAGGAAGGAAUGGGCAACGGUAGGUCAGUAUGCCCCGAAUAUCCCGGGCUACACGCGAGCUACAAUGGUUGGUACAAUGGGUAUCUACCCCGAAAGGGGACGGGAAUCUCCUAAAACCAAUCUUAGUUCGGAUUGAGGGCUGCAACUCGCCCUCAUGAAGCUGGAAUCCGUAGUAAUCGCGUUUCAACAGAACGCGGUGAAUACGUCCCUGCUCCUUGCACACACCGCCCGUCAAACCACCCGAGUAGGGUCUGAAUGAGAGCGCUUUC